Molecule: long non-coding RNA, 492 nt
Organism: Oryzias melastigma (Indian medaka)
Lineage: Eukaryota; Metazoa; Chordata; Actinopteri; Beloniformes; Adrianichthyidae
Exons: 3
Source: RefSeq, a predicted model, not a curated record
GGGAUGGAAAAGAUUCGGCUCCUACUGCUACUUUGUUGGAAGUGAGACAAAAACCUUCGAUGAAGCCAGGAUUACCUGCACAAACUCACAUUCCUACCUGGUAGAUGUUUCAACAAGAGUGGAUAAUGCUUUCCUGACCAGCUUGGUGGGCCUCAGACCAGAGAAACAUUUCUGGUUGGGACUUUCAAACCAGAGAGACAUCGAUGUUUUUGUGUGGACCAACACAAGGGAGGUCAGAUUUACUCACUGGAACGCUGAAAUGCCAGGGGAUCGACAGGGCUGUGUUGCUCUGGCAACCGGGCAUCGUGCUGGUCUCUGGGAUGUUCUCCCUUGUUCCAAUAAGGAAAAGUAUAUCUGUAAACAGCUGGCAAAAGGAGCUGCUGUAACCGACCGCCCAACCACAGCUCCAACCCUGACAUGUGCAGAUGGCUGGACUAAAGUGCCAUCAAGAAACUUCUGCUCCAAGGUAAAGAGAACACCUUUAAUGAAGUC